CGCCAAAUAGCUAGCCUACCCCUCUAAUAACAAAAAAUAACUAUAUAUACCCCCACAAACACCCAAAAACAAAAAAUAAACCAUUCAACCCCCUUAGUAUCGGCGAGAGAAAAGGGCCUUAAGAGCAAUAGAAAAAGUACCGCAAGGGAACGCUGAAAGAGAAAUGAAAUUAACCCAUACAAGCCAAAAAAAGCAGAGAUUAAAUCUCGUACCUUUUGCAUCAUGAUUUAGCCAGUGAGCCCCGAGCAAAGAGCACUUUAGUUCGACAACCCGAAACUAGCAUGAGCUACUCCAAGACAGCCUAUAAGGGCAAAUCCGUCUCUGUGGCAAAAGAGUGGAAAGAGCUUUGAGUAGAGGUGACAGACCUACCGAAUCUAGUUAUAGCUGGUUGCCUGGGAAAUGAAUAUUAGUUCAGCCUCAUAAAUUCUUUUUUAACACAACUAACUUACGCCUACUACCCAAAGAAUUUAAGAGAGUUAGACGAAGGGGGUACAGCCCCUUUGAAACAAGACACUACUUUCCCCAGCAGGGUUAAGAUCAAAUACCUUUAAGGGUAAAUAACUUCAGUAGGCCUGAAAGCAGCCACCUCCUUAGAAAGCGUUUAAGCUCAAGUUCUAACCACCCCGUAUAUUUCGACCAUUAAAUCUAAGCCCCCUAAUUUUACCAGGCCGCCCCAUGCAAACAUGGGAGUGACUAUGCUAAUAUGAGUAAUAAGAGGGUAAUAUACCCCUCUCCUUGCACAUGUGUAAAUCGGAAUGGAUUUACCACCGAAAAUUAACGUCCCCAAACAAAGAGGGUACUGAAUACCAAACAAGCCCAACUAGAAAACUAUCCAAUAAUAAACCGUUAACCCUACACAGGUGUGCCCAUAAGGAAAGACUAAAAGAAAGAGAAGGAACUCGGCAAACAUACCUUUCAAGCCUCGCCUGUUUACCAAAAACAUCACCUCUUGUAAAAUGAAUAUAAGAGGCCCCGCCUGCCCGGUGACCUAAUGUUUAACGGCCGCGGUAUCCUGACCGUGCGAAGGUAGCGCAAUAACUUGUCUUUUAAAUGGGGACUAGUAUGAAUGGCACCACGAGGGCUUAUCUGUCUCCUCUUUCAAGUCAAUGAAAUUGAUCUUCCCGUGCAAAAGCGGGAAUAAGCACAUAAGACGAGAAGACCCUGUGGAGCUUUAGACACCAAGACAGCUCGCGUUAAGAAUACCCCACAAAGGUUAAAACUAAAAAAGACCUGCCCUAAUGUCUUUGGUUGGGGCGACCGCGGAGUAAAAGAAAACCUCCCUCUGCAUGGAAUGAGGGUAAAAUUCAUUCCCUUUAAACCAAGAGCGACAGCUCGAACUAACAGAAUCUUCUGACCUUAAAGAUCCGGCCCACUGCCGAUCAACGAAUCAAGUUACCCCAGGGAUAACAGCGCAAUCCCCUUUUAGAGCCCAUAUCGACAAGGGGGUUUACGACCUCGAUGUUGGAUCAGGACAUCCUAAUGGUGCAGCCGCUAUUAAGGGUUCGUUUGUUCAACGAUUAAAGUCCUACGUGAUCUGAGUUCAGACCGGAGUAAUCCAGGUCAGUUUCUAUCUAUGAUUAUCCUUUUUUCUAGUACGAAAGGAGCGAAAAAAGGGGGCCCAUGCUCUCAGCACGCCCCAUCCCUACCUGUUGAAAUCAACUAAAGUAGCCAAAGGGAGAUUUAACACUCUCAACUAAGAGAAAGUUU
RNAcentral lists this ribosomal RNA (1707 nucleotides) under Inegocia japonica (rusty flathead). Its description in RNAcentral is "16S ribosomal RNA". It matches the Rfam family "Bacterial large subunit ribosomal RNA". Lineage: Eukaryota; Metazoa; Chordata; Actinopteri; Perciformes; Platycephalidae. The record is from RNAcentral.